RNAcentral lists this ribosomal RNA (369 nucleotides) under uncultured bacterium. RNAcentral describes it as "bacterial SSU rRNA". It matches the Rfam family "Bacterial small subunit ribosomal RNA", at positions 917 to 1289 of the family's 1533-position model. The record is from RNAcentral.
GGGCCCGCACAAGCGGUGGAGCAUGUGGUUUAAUUCGAUGAUACGCGAGGAACCUUACCAGGGCUUAAAUGUACGUUGCAUUAGUUAGAGAUAGCUAUUUCUUCGGACUACGUACAAGGUGCUGCAUGGUUGUCGUCAGCUCGUGCCGUGAGGUGUCAGGUUAAGUCCUAUAACGAGCGCAACCCCCUGUUGUUAGUUGCCAGCGAGUGAUGUCGGGAACUCUAACAAGACUGCCGGUGCAAACCGUGAGGAAGGUGGGAUGACGUCAAAUCAUCACGGCCCUUACGUCCUGGGCUACACACGUGCUACAAUGGCCGGUACAGAGAGCAGCCACACCGUGAGGUGGAGCGAAUCUUCAAAGCCGGUCUC